Molecule: ribosomal RNA, 241 nt
Filed under: uncultured bacterium
Lineage: Bacteria
Description: partial 16S ribosomal RNA
Rfam family: Bacterial small subunit ribosomal RNA
Source: RNAcentral
CCGGCACGGGUGAGUAACACGUAUGCAAUCCACCUGUAACAGGGGGAUAACCCGGAGAAAUCCGGACUAAUACCCCAUAAUAUGGGCGCUCCGCAUGGAGAGCCCAUUAAAGAGAGCAAUUUUGGUUACAGACGAGCAUGCGCUCCAUUAGCCAGUUGGCGGGGUAACGGCCCACCAAGCCUUCGAUGGAUAGGGGUUCUGAGAGGAAGGUCCCCCACAUUGGAACUGAGACACGGUCCAA